This 61-nucleotide ribosomal RNA is filed under the name Mucilaginibacter limnophilus. RNAcentral describes it as "Bacterial small subunit ribosomal RNA". It matches the Rfam family "Bacterial small subunit ribosomal RNA", at positions 1 to 61 of the family's 1533-position model. The record is from Rfam by way of RNAcentral. Lineage: Bacteria; Pseudomonadati; Bacteroidota; Sphingobacteriia; Sphingobacteriales; Sphingobacteriaceae. RNAcentral also lists the same sequence under 1 other name.
ACAAUGGAGAGUUUGAUCCUGGCUCAGGAUGAACGCUAGCGGCAGGCCUAAUACAUGCAAG